UGAUGCUUUGCCCGUAAACAGUCACC
RNAcentral lists this non-coding RNA (26 nucleotides) under Mus musculus (house mouse). Lineage: Eukaryota; Metazoa; Chordata; Mammalia; Rodentia; Muridae. The record is from RNAcentral.